CACCGCGGUUAUACGAGAGGCCCAAGUUGAUAGCCCCCGGCGUAAAGAGUGGUUAAGAGAACUCCAAAACUAAAGCCGAACGUUCUCAGGACUGUUAUACGUUUCCGAGAAUAAGAAGCUCCACGACGAAGGUGGCUUUAACAUAUCUGACUCCACGUAAGUUGGGGAA
Molecule: ribosomal RNA, 169 nt
Filed under: Atherinidae sp. CBM DNA No. 2006-196
Lineage: Eukaryota; Metazoa; Chordata; Actinopteri; Atheriniformes; Atherinidae
Description: partial 12S rRNA
Source: RNAcentral